Molecule: ribosomal RNA, 253 nt
Filed under: uncultured bacterium
Lineage: Bacteria
Description: partial 16S ribosomal RNA
Rfam family: Bacterial small subunit ribosomal RNA
Source: RNAcentral
UACGGAGGGAGCGAGCGUUGUUCGGAAUUACUGGGCGUAAAGCGUGCGCAGGCGGAUUUCCAAGUCAGGAGUGAAAUCCCCGGGCUCAACCCGGGAAUUGCUUUUGAAACUGGAUGUCUUGAGUCUCGGAGAGGUUGGCGGAAUUCCCAGUGUAGCAGUGAAAUGCGUAGAUAUUGGGAGGAACACCAGUGGCGUAAGCGGCCAACUGGACGAGUACUGACGCUCAUGCACGAAAGUGUGGGGAUCAAACAGG